Molecule: ribosomal RNA, 468 nt
Filed under: uncultured bacterium
Lineage: Bacteria
Description: partial 16S ribosomal RNA
Rfam family: Bacterial small subunit ribosomal RNA
Source: RNAcentral
GACGAACGCUGGCGGCGUGCUUAACACAUGCAAGUCGAACGGAAAGGCCCUGCUUUUGUGGGGUGCUCGAGUGGCGAACGGGUGAGUAACACGUGAGUAACCUGCCCUUGACUUUGGGAUAACUUCAGGAAACUGGGGCUAAUACCGGAUAGGAGCUCCUGCUGCAUGGUGGGGGUUGGAAAGUUUCGGCGGUUGGGGAUGGACUCGCGGCUUAUCAGCUUGUUGGUGGGGUAGUGGCUUACCAAGGCUUUGACGGGUAGCCGGCCUGAGAGGGUGAACGGCGACAUUGGGACUGAGAUACGGCCCAGACUCCUACGGGAGGCAGCAGGGGGGAAUAUUGCACAAUGGGCGGAAGCCUGAUGCAGCAACGCCGCGUGCGGGAUGACGGCCUUCGGGUUGUAAACCGCUUUCGCCUGUGACGAAGCGUGAGUGACGGUAAUGGGUAAAGAAGCACCGGCUAACUACGUG